UUGUGCCUGUGUGCGAGUGAGCGCUGUAUGUGUGCAAGCAUUGUGGGUUGUAGAAGGGAUCAAAAGUGGGAUUUGUGGCAUGUUCUCUGCAGGAAACCAGAGCUGCUCCAGUUCAAAGCCACAUGCACCAACGUGACAUAUAAGCCAUUAAAAUACCGUCCCGACGUUUUAUUUCUAUUUCAUCAUGCAUUUCCCAACUAUUUUCAGAAAGCAAGAAAAGAAGAAACGAAGGGGGAACUUUCCGACCAAGCACCCAAGAGGACUUCUGGUUUGAUCCACCCGCUGCCCACCGACCUAAUUCUCUCCCCGCCCCAGCCUCUACUCCCAUCUCCUUGGUUUUUCCCUCUGUUAUGAUUAGAUUCUCUUAUUUGUUGUCAGUCCGGGCUUGGUAGAACAGAAAUGAAGGGAUCUCGCUUUCAACAGGUGGAGUGGGGAACCAAAUCAGAAAAUAAAGUACAGCAUUCACCUUGAAAUGAGAAAAAGAAAAGGAUUUUACAGAAACCUUCUGGAAUAUUCAAAUGUCUAUCUCGUUGCUCUCAAGGUAAUCUAGACAGAGGCAGCUGAAAAGCUCUGCAUCUUAUGCCUUAGACAUCAAAGCAGGCUCUCGCAAUGAAAGCAUUUCUUCGCAACGGUGAAUCUUCAUGAUUGACCCAAGUACAGUUUAUGUCUCCAUCCAUCCAUCUCCUUUGAACCUGACUUUCAUGAACAUUGGGAUUCACAGCAGGAAAAGUUACCCCAAAAUGAAGCACCUCACCUCCUUCGGCUGAAAGACAACAGAGACAAUAUACAAACAUCAUUUGCUUAAUGUAGGAAACAGGUUUGCCACUUUGGGGGUGCCAGUGCAUUCCAGAUAUUUGUAAGUCUCACAUCUUUAUCAAGUAUCCACCUGUUUUUCCAUUUGUAAACUUGUUUUUCAGAGGAAAGUGGUAAUACCCAUUUUCACAAUUUUCAAGCAGAAGAAAAACCAAAUUCUGGGCAUCAACCCAAAUUCAUUGUAUUAAAAUAAAACAGUCAAAGACUAACUGA
Molecule: RNA transcript, 1026 nt
Organism: Pantherophis guttatus
Lineage: Eukaryota; Metazoa; Chordata; Lepidosauria; Squamata; Colubridae
Gene name: zinc finger protein ZIC 4
Source: RefSeq, a predicted model, not a curated record